CCUACGGGAGGCAGCAGUGAGGAAUAUUGCACAAUGGGGGUACCCCUGAUGCAGCAACGCCGCGUGAGUGAAGAAUGAUCUCGGUAUGGAAAGCUCUAUCAGCAGGGAAGAAAAUGACGGUACCUGAAUAAGAAGCACCGGCUAAAUACGUGCCAGCAGCCGCGGUAAUACGUAUGGUGCAAGCGUUAUCCGGAUUUACUGGGUGUAAAGGGAGCGCAGGCGGGGAUGCAAGGCGGAUGGGAAAGCCCGGGGCUCAACCCCGGGACUGCAUUUGAAACUGCCGGGCUAGAGUGUCGGAGAGGUAAGCGGAAUGCCUAGUGUAGCGGUGAAAUGCGUAGAUAUUAGGAGGAACACCAGUGGCGAAGGCGGCUUGCUGGACGAUCACUGACGCUGAGGCUCGAAAGCGUGGGGAGCAAACAGGAUUAGAUACCCGGGUAGUC
RNAcentral lists this ribosomal RNA (440 nucleotides) under uncultured bacterium. RNAcentral's name for it is "partial 16S ribosomal RNA". It matches the Rfam family "Bacterial small subunit ribosomal RNA", at positions 338 to 795 of the family's 1533-position model. The record is from RNAcentral.